Molecule: ribosomal RNA, 464 nt
Filed under: uncultured bacterium
Lineage: Bacteria
Description: partial 16S ribosomal RNA
Rfam family: Bacterial small subunit ribosomal RNA
Source: RNAcentral
CUACGGGCGGCUGCAGUGGGGAAUAUUGCACAAUGGGCGCAAGCCUGAUGCAGCCAUGCCGCGUGUAUGAAGAAGGCCUUCGGGUUGUAAAGUACUUUCAGCGGGGAGGAAGGGAGUAAAGUUAAUACCUUUGCUCAUUGACGUUACCCGCAGAGGAAGCACCGGCUAACUCCGUGCCAGCAGCCGCGGUAAUACGGAGGGCGCAAGCGUUAAUCGGAAUUACUGGGCGUAAAGCGCACGCAGGCGGUUUGUUAAGUCAGAUGUGAAAUCCCCGGGCUCAACCUGGGAACUGCAUCUGAUACUGGCAAGCUUGAGUCUCGUAGAGGGGGGUAGAAUUCCAGGUGUAGCGGUGAAAUGCGUAGAGAUCUGGAGGAAUACCGGUGGCGAAGGCGGCCCCCUGGACGAAGACUGACGCUCAGGUGCGAAAGCGUGGGGAGCAAACAGGAUUAGAUACCCUUGUAGUC